Long non-coding RNA from Pantherophis guttatus, 517 nucleotides. RefSeq lists it as uncharacterized. The record is from RefSeq and is a predicted model, not a curated record. NCBI's taxonomy places the organism in Eukaryota, Metazoa, Chordata, Lepidosauria, Squamata, Colubridae.
UUGCUUGGUCUUCUUCCAGUCUAGUAUCCAAAAGUAUGACUACAUACUUAAUCAUUCAAGAAUAUAGGAGUGUUUUCCUACAGUGUCGAAUCUUUGGCCUAGAUUGUAUCAUCAAGGAGCUCAAAGACAAAAUCGUAUUCUUGUUUUGCUUUCUAUUCACCAGCAAUCUCUGUAACCUUAGCCUUGGAAGAAGCAUAUCUGGAAAUUUUAUAACAAGGCCAAAUGUGAAAGCUCUUAACAAUUUCAAAGAUAUGGUUGGUACAAGAUAAUAACAUUAAGAUGCUAAUAGAGAAUUUAGUUGCCAGAAAAGAACUAUGCUUAGGCCAAAGAGUCUAACACAUCCUUGAAUUAUUUCUGGCUUGUAUACUUCAGGUUUUGUAUGAUGCUAACUGGACCAUUGAUGUUCUAAUUAUAUUUGUUUUCCUGUAAAGCUGUUGAGACUCCUGUCAGAUUGCAAUGUGGUAGAAAAUGUUAAUAAAUAAAUAAAUAAAUACCUCAAUAAACUCUAAGAUCUGUU